RNAcentral lists this long non-coding RNA (432 nucleotides) under Vigna radiata. Its description in RNAcentral is "long non-coding RNA (VRAD_LNC001432)". Lineage: Eukaryota; Viridiplantae; Streptophyta; Magnoliopsida; Fabales; Fabaceae. The record is from RNAcentral.
AUACACCAUUGCUUCAACGAAGUCUGGAACCUUCUCCUCGUUAUCCUGGUCUCCAUCUCUUGGAGCAAAAGAAUCACAGUAUGCCUGAGCGAGUUCUUGCAGGUUGCCAACAACAGGUUUGUAGGUUAGCUUCAUGUACUCCUUAAUGGGUAUAAGCCUAAUCUCAGCAGCUACAAGAAGACCGAGCGUUCCCUGAGACCAAGGAACGGCAUAGAAUAGAUCAGAGAAUUCGUUGUCCUUGGUCGCUCUAACAAGAGUACCAUCAGCCAACACAAUUUCGUAGGCCACCACAGUAUCAGAGAACAGGCCAUAUUUGUGGGAGCUUCCUUCUAUUCCAUAGCCAUUGAUGAGACCACCGACAGUGAGAUCAUCAAGUUCGGCCACGACAGCAAGGGAAAGAUUCAUGGGUACGGUCGCCCUUGAGAUCUGUCC